This 258-nucleotide long non-coding RNA is filed under the name Dasypus novemcinctus (nine-banded armadillo). Its description in RNAcentral is "lncRNA (ENSDNOG00000051116.1)". The record is from RNAcentral. Lineage: Eukaryota; Metazoa; Chordata; Mammalia; Cingulata; Dasypodidae.
UCUGGAGCUCUUCAGGAGGGGCCGAGGGGGGAGCUGCUCGAGGUCACGUCCGUGAACAGGGCAGGGGUGCCCUGGACCCGAGGAGGCUGCUUCCCGUGCCACGUCGUUCUUCCCUCGUCCCAAGCCAUCGCUGUGCCCCCCUGAGAAGCUGUCGCCUGGCCUCCUGGCACGGCCCUGUGACUUGUAAUGAGUUCCAGCUCACAUCCUGGAUGAAUUAUCAUUGGAGGAGUGUGUGCACUCUGAAAAUAAACUGACAGC